This 756-nucleotide ribosomal RNA is filed under the name bacterium G500VII. RNAcentral describes it as "partial 16S ribosomal RNA". The record is from RNAcentral.
GGGUAACCCCGACACCUAGCACUCAUCGUUUACGGCGUGGACUACCAGGGUAUCUAAUCCUGUUCGCUCCCCACGCUUUCGUGCCUCAGCGUCAGUUACAGUCCAGAGAGCCGCCUUCGCAACUGGUAUUCCUCCUAAUAUCUACGCAUUUCACCGCUACACUAGGAAUUCUACUCUCCUCUCCUGCACUCAAGCCCUACAGUUUCAAAAGCUUACUACGGUUGAGCCGUAGCCUUUCACUUCUGACUUGCAGGGCCGCCUACGCACCCUUUACGCCCAGUUAUUCCGGAUAACGCUUGCCCCCUACGUAUUACCGCGGCUGCUGGCACGUAGUUAGCCGGGGCUUCCUCCUAAGGUACCGUCAUUAUCUUCCCUUAGGACAGAGCUUUACGACCCGAAGCCUUCAUCGCUCACGCGGCGUUGCUGCAUCAGGGUUUCCCCCAUUGUGCAAUAUUCCCCACUGCUGCCUCCCGUAGAGUCUGGACCGUGUCUCAGUUCCAGUGUGGCCGAUCACCCUCUCAGGUCGGCUACCCAUCGUCGCCUUGGUAAGCUUUUACCUCACCAACUAGCUAAUGGGACGCGGGUCCAUCCUACACCGAUAAAAUCUUUGACAUUUCUAAGAUGCCUUAAAAAUGUAUUAUCUCGUAUUAGCAUAUCUUUCGAUAUGUUAUCCGUGUGUAUAGGGCAGGKUAMCCACGCGUUACUCACCCGUCCGCCGCUAAGAUUAAGAAGCAAGCUUCUUAAUCUCCGCUCGAC